RNAcentral lists this ribosomal RNA (253 nucleotides) under uncultured bacterium. RNAcentral describes it as "partial 16S ribosomal RNA". It matches the Rfam family "Bacterial small subunit ribosomal RNA", at positions 524 to 776 of the family's 1533-position model. The record is from RNAcentral.
UACGAAGGGUGCAAACGUUGCUCGGAAUUAUUGGGCGUAAAGCGCACGUAGGCGGCUUAGCAAGUCGGAUGUGAAAUCCCUCGGCUCAACCAAGGAAGUGCAUCCGAAACUGCUGAGCUUGAGUACGAAAGAGGAUCGCGGAAUUCCCGGUGUAGAGGUGAAAUUCGUAGAGAUCCGGAGGAACACCAGAGGCGAAGGCGGCCUGCUGGGCUGCACCUGACGCUGAGCCGCGAAAGCCAGGGGAGCGAACGGG